Peromyscus maniculatus bairdii (prairie deer mouse) is the source of this 1675-nucleotide non-coding RNA. The record is from RefSeq and is a predicted model, not a curated record. Lineage: Eukaryota; Metazoa; Chordata; Mammalia; Rodentia; Cricetidae.
GAUUAAAGGCGUGUGCCACUGCUGCCUGGCCGCUUGGCUUUUUCUUAAACUUGGGUUCCAGGGAUCAAACUCAGGCUGUCAGACUUUUGCAGCAAACAAGUGAUUCUACCCACUGAGCCACCUCACCUGACUUUGAUUGUUCUCGUUUGCCUUCUAUCACUGUGACAGAACUGACAGAACCGACCUGUGGAGGGAAGGAUUGAUUUGGCUCCCGUGUCCCAAGGCACCGUCCAUUACUGAGGAAUGUCAGGACAGGAACUACAGCAGAGAACUGGGAAGAACAUUGUUUACUGGCUUGCUCCCCAUGUCCGGCUCAGCUUGCUUUCUUAUAUUACCCAGGACCACCUGCCCGGGGGUGGCUCUCGCUCUGGUGUUCAGGUUCCUCCCGUAUCAUUUAUGAAUCAAGAAAAUACCCCACAGGUUUCCCGACAGGCCAAUCUGAAGGAGACAUUUUCUCAGUUGACAUUCCCUCUUCCCAGAUGAUCCUGGCUUGUGUCAAGCUGACAAAUAAGAUAAACAAAAAAACAGCCAGCACAACAAUGUCAUUGACUGUAUAAUGAGAUGUCUCAAUCUGGUCAUCCUGUAUCCUUCCAUUCUAAUUUUCUAUUAUACUGUCUGAGACGUCUCACUGAAGCCCAGGCUGACCCGGGACUCUGUAGCCGGCUGUUAAUCCUUUGUUUAUCCCUCACUCGCCUUCGCCCUUCUCUUCCCUCCCUGUCUUAUCCUCAGCCAUUCUGUGCCAUUGUUCCGAAAGCCUAUGCCCUGCCUUGCCCAGGCAAGACAGCAAAUCAUUGCAUAAUCCCUUCUCUUCCUGGCUCCUGAUCGGCUGCUCCGGAGGUGGAUGUAUAGAACCUACCACCUCUACUUGUAACCCACUUGGGAGUGAGAGUGUUAUUUUUAGGCACAGUAAUGUAAAAAGCUCUUGCUAGACUGUUCUGGGGGCAGGGGAGUGUCCUCAGCCCUUCGGGGAAAUGAGGGAUUCUUUUUCUAUUCCAGCCAGUAGCCAGAGUGGGUUGUCUGUAGGAGCAGGGACAGUUCACUGCUCCCUUCUACCCCGGUUUUAACAGGUGCUUAACCAUCGUAAGUGUUGAGAGCUUUAAACCACUGGGGCUUUAGGGUGUCUUCCUGCUUAGUGGCCUAUUAUAAUAAACCAUUUCUGCACAGAUGUAGCAUCUGGGUUGUAAAUGUCCACCCGCCACCCUGCUGCCAUGCCCGCAUGGAGUGGGUCCCUUGCCAGCCUGCUGCUGCAUCUGGCUAGCAUGCCAGCAUGGUUCCCUGCACAAGUGGAGUACCCUGGCCCAGCCAGCUGGGGGUUUCUCACUCGUGAAUAAUUCAUAACAUUCACUUCAUCAGGUUUGUUGGAUCUUAUGGAACCCAAAUCAGCCUGGAACUCUCUAUACAGCUGUGGAUGAAACUUGAACUCCUGACCCUCCUGUUUCCACCUCCCAAGUUCUGGGGUGACAACAUUACCAUGCCUGGCUCCAGAUCUUUUAUAAUAUAAUCAUAUACUGGAACCUGCUAGGAUCCUUCUACAUGAUUACAGGGUCAAAAGAGGAUGAAACCAUGCUGACAGGAUGGCUCAAUGGCUCUUCCAGAUUGGUUUCUAUUACUGGCCAAAAGCAACUUGGGAGGAAAAGCUUUAUUUGGCGACAUGUCCAUCAUGAAGGGAAGUCAG